GGGUACUUAGCUCAGUGGUAGAGUGUGUGCUUAGCAUGCACAAGGUCCUGGGUUCAAUCCCCAGUACCUC
RNAcentral lists this transfer RNA (70 nucleotides) under Camelus bactrianus (Bactrian camel). It matches the Rfam family "tRNA". Rfam says of the family: Transfer RNA (tRNA) molecules are approximately 80 nucleotides in length. Their secondary structure includes four short double-helical elements and three loops (D, anti-codon, and T loops). The record is from Rfam by way of RNAcentral. RNAcentral also lists the same sequence under 2 other names. Lineage: Eukaryota; Metazoa; Chordata; Mammalia; Artiodactyla; Camelidae.